Molecule: long non-coding RNA, 1419 nt
Organism: Drosophila miranda
Lineage: Eukaryota; Metazoa; Arthropoda; Insecta; Diptera; Drosophilidae
Exons: 2
Source: RefSeq, a predicted model, not a curated record
GCAUAUACUCAUUUUUGUUAUUCGUUAUUUGCACCUAUUUUCGCUUUCUCAAGUUUCUUAUCAGCAAAACGCUUGCAGAUUUACAGUUAAAUCUCUUCUUUUUGUAGUUUUGUUAUACAUACAUCACAUUAAGACGUGCUUCUUACAAAUCAAAGCAGAUCUCUUAAAUCUAAUAGACAGUGUCUACCGCGUGCUUAAAAAUGAAAAAACUAUCGCUAGAAGUUGAAAAUAAUAUUGUGGGCCUUACUGAUAAUGGCUGUUCAACACGUAAUAUUGCUGAAAAGCUUGGCAUUAGUCAAUCGGUGGUGAUCAGAGUACAAAAAAGACGAAAUGCUGUCCCCAAACCCCAAGGUCAAGGCCGCCCUAAGAAGUUAACGGACUCAGACGCUAGACUUAUGAUGUCGGAAAUGAGGAAAAAUAAGAUGCUAACACCAAAGAAUGCUUCUAUGGCCAUAAAUAAAAAUGUAAGUCGCUGGACAGCUAGAAGAGCCCUUCACAUCAUUGGGUACAAAGCAGCCGUUAAGAAGAAUAAACCUGCGUUGUCGGAAAAAAAUGUUAAAGCAAGGUUGAAAUUCGCAAGGGAUCAUACAAAUUGCACCACGGAUGAUUGGAAAAGUGUUAUCUGGUCUGAUGAAUCCAAAUGUAAAGCAAUUAAACGUUUGGCUUCGUGCCUGUUGUCUACGAACACACACAAAGUUUUACAAAGAAAAAAACCAGACAAUUUAUUUGUUGCUUUAUCGUUCUUUCUACGAGAAAAUCAAAUGGAGGUUGAGAUCGAGCGGAGCUGACACAGUAAAAAUGACGAGACCUGCUUUGUUCAGUCCGUUUCGGGGCGAGCGAUUCGAAGAUUUGAGAAAGCUGAAUCGCAGAUUCUAACGGACCGAAUCCCACCGAAUAGAUUCAGUUUUCAGUUCAUGCAGGGCUCUAAUGUGCAUGUCCUUACCCCGAUAUUUAUGUUAAAAAACUUUUUUCAGAUCUUGUAUGUAUUUUCAAAUAAGAAUAUUCAUUAAAAUACAAUUUUGAGCUCCAAAUUAAAAAAUAUGUAUGAAAGUAGCUAAAAUAUUUGUAUUCGCAAUGUUAUAAACUUUAAAAAAUUGUAAUGAUAUACAAAAAAACUAGUUUGUAGUGUUUUUGUGCUCUGCCAACUGCACAAUAGUCUCAAAAUCGAUAAAGUCAAAAAAUGUUUGAUUUUGGGCUUUGGAAAAAUAACGCAAUAUUCGGAAAGUUGAUACCCCUAAUAGUAGUAAACUUUUUUUGAGCCCUAUGGCAACCCUGCACUGGUGGCUGGUCGAUUACAGCCCCGAAAUGUGUGAAAGAGCGGGAAUAUCCUGCUAGUCUUCGCCUUAUUAUUAUUCAGAAAUUGUUAAUGGAAAAUAAAUGUAUAAUAUGGAUAAUAAACGUCAAGGUAUUUAUAACUGA